GUAGAUACAGCUCAUUGGUAGAGCACAUGCUUACAUGCAUGAGGUCCUGGGUUCAACUCCCAGUUCCUCCA
RNAcentral lists this transfer RNA (71 nucleotides) under Camelus ferus (Wild Bactrian camel). It matches the Rfam family "tRNA". Rfam says of the family: Transfer RNA (tRNA) molecules are approximately 80 nucleotides in length. Their secondary structure includes four short double-helical elements and three loops (D, anti-codon, and T loops). Lineage: Eukaryota; Metazoa; Chordata; Mammalia; Artiodactyla; Camelidae. The record is from Rfam by way of RNAcentral.